RNAcentral lists this non-coding RNA (49 nucleotides) under unclassified sequences. RNAcentral describes it as "eL15-Euryarchaeota ribosomal protein leader". It matches the Rfam family "eL15-Euryarchaeota ribosomal protein leader". The record is from RNAcentral.
CGGACAACCGUGUCCGUUGGGAUGUGGUCCUUCGGGACUGAACCAUAAG